Long non-coding RNA from Bos taurus (domestic cattle), 1146 nucleotides. Lineage: Eukaryota; Metazoa; Chordata; Mammalia; Artiodactyla; Bovidae. The record is from Ensembl.
ACCUUGUAGGAUCUGUCCGGAGUGCUGAAAAGGUUUCCGCUGGAGAAGGCUGGAGUCUGGGAGACCAAGUAAUCUGACGAGCUCACCAAGCAGGAUUUUCAAGUCCCAACCAAAGAUCCUUUUAAACAGAAACUGACGUCCAUAAAGGACAAAAACAGUCACAACUAAUUUUUAAAUGGAUAUAAGAGAGAAAUUGAAGGAGAUGCCCUGUGCUCCAUGAGAGGAAGGAGGUACACAAAGCACACCUAACAAGAGGUGGCAUGCCCGAACACUCGGAACUCUAAAGAAUGUCUAGAACGUUGCAUAGCCAAGAAGAUUCUGCAGAAAGCCUAAGCUGAGCUCCCCACGGGGGUAGGGUGGGGGGCUGCAUAGAACCCACGACAAUGAUUUCUUGGCUGCCUCAAAAGGCCAGUAGAUGAGCUCUAGCUCAGUCUCACGGGACUCAGAACAAUGAAACACGUAGGGAAUCAAAACGGUGGCAGGAAGCCACUGCCUUCCGACUGGCCUCUGUCAGUAACUCGGCGGAGAGUAAACUGUGGGAGAGUCUAUCUGCCUGCUCACUCGAGAGCUUUCGAUUCAGCUUAGGCAGCACGGAGAUGGUGCCUGAGUGAGCACAAGCACUUGUUACCCGCCCCUCAAUUUCCCUUCCCCACAGCACCUGCUCCGGAGGGAGACCUAGCACCAGCACCUGAGCCCUCCAGGUGGACUGCCCUCUUCCCUCUGUGAGGUCCCGGUGCAGGCGAGGCUCUGGUCACCUGGCUAGCUCGUUGGCCUGCCCGGGUUCUCUCCCAAGUGGCUGUAGCCUGGGCAAUGCCGCUUGAAGGUUUAACCGAAGCCACCCGCGAAUGGAGCCGGCUUCAACCUCGAGGUUCUGGCCACCCCCGCCGCUCCACCCGCGACCCCUCCCCCAAACACAACUGGGAGCACCCCGCAAGCUUACAGCUCCUUCGUCCUCGGGUGAAGCGCCAGCAAACGCUCUUAUGAGCUCCCCCAGCAACACCUAAUGGCUUCAAAAAUAGAGACUCCCCUCCUUUGCCAAACGUGCCCCUCUGUGCACAUGUAUCGGUAUGCGUGAAGAGACAGAAAGAGAAAUGUCCAAACCCUCCCUUUGGCUCAGACCUCUUUAUUUUUUCUCCUCUGAUUUUU